This is a long non-coding RNA of Vicia villosa (hairy vetch), 4241 nucleotides long. RefSeq lists it as uncharacterized. The record is from RefSeq and is a predicted model, not a curated record. The transcript has 4 exons. NCBI's taxonomy places the organism in Eukaryota, Viridiplantae, Streptophyta, Magnoliopsida, Fabales, Fabaceae.
ACAAAACAAAUUGGGUCCAUUGAAUUAAAUAACAGUUCACAGGAAGUAGAACUAGUAGGAUGCAAGUAAAGGCAAAAUCAUUUCUUCAUUGAUACCUUUUUCUUCAGAUUUAUAGAAAGCUAUCAAUUUGAUGAUCAACAAAUUCAACUAAAGGAUUCAACUCAUAAUUUGGACUUAUGAUGAAGCUUUUGCAUAACAUGAAGUGAGGUUUAGAGAUGAAGAAAUGCAGAGAUGCUUUGCAUCAAUCUGCUAAUAUGUCUUGAUGACAUUUCAAACUAGGGGCUGAAUCACAAUAUAGUUUUAUUGGAUAAAUUGUUGAAGAGGUCUCAAUGAAGAUCAACUGCAUUCCUUUGCAUGUUGCAAGCAAACCAGUUGGGUUGGAGUUUCAAAUGUUAGAAGUUACCUCUCUCCUUGGCCUUGAAUCUAAUGAGAGAGUCAACAUGGUAGGAGGCAUUUAUGGAAUCGGUGGAAUAGGAAAAUCAACAAUUUAUCGUGUUGUGCAUAACUUGACUGGUGAUCAAUUCAAGGAUAUUUUUUAUGUGGGUACAAUUCGAGGGUGUGUUAUCUUUCCGACAUUAGAGAGAGGGCAAUCAUGAUCUAGCUCAGCUCCAAGAACACUAAUUUCUGUAAUACUCGGGGAAAAGGAUAUUAAAGUGGGAGAUGUUUACAAAAGAAUUUCAAUAAUUAAAACGAGGCUACAAAGAAAGAAAGUCAUUCUGAUUUUUGAUAAUGUUGACAAAGAGAAACAGUUACAGGUACUUGUAGAAGGACACGAUUGGUUUGGCUUCGACGGCAAGAUCCUAAUCACUACAAGAGACAAGCAUUUGCUGGCCACUCAUGGGAUUGUCAAAGUCUAUGAGGUCAAAACAGCUAAACUAAGAAAAGGCUCUUGAGUUAUUUAGUUGGAAUACAUUUAAAAAUAAAAAAAAUAGAUCCAGGUUAUGUGUUGCAAAAUGUGCCGUGUCUUAUUGUCAUGGUCUUCCCUUGGCUUUGGAGGUGAUAGGUUCUCAACUGUUUGGAAAAAAUUUAGCUGUAUGGAAAUUCACAUUAGAUAAAUAUGAAAGAAUUAUUCGUAAAGACAUCCAUGACAUUCUCAAAGUUAGCCAUGAUUAUUUAGAAGAAGAUUUAAAUGAAGAUGGCAUAUAAAAAGUGGAGUGCAGUUUGAACUUUUUUGUCCGCCAAAUAAAUCGUACCGUCCAAGAGAUGCCACGUAAAGGAAAAUAAAAAACACAAAAGUAAAGAGCUCGAACAGACACCCCCCCUGAUUAGUCACCCCUCCAGCUAUCUUGCUCUGCCGUGGUCGCUAGUCGCCGUAGCCUUGCCGCCACCGUGGGUGUGAAUGUGCAUCUACAGGACAACUUUCUUGUUCCUACUCUCCCUAGCAAGUAUCUCUUUUUUUCAAAAUGCAUUUUAAUUUUUACAAUGUUGCCAUUUCAUUUGUAUGUUUUAUUUUACUUUAUUAGACUUGUUUUUAAAUCAUAAUCACCACCUAUUCAAACAAAAUUAUUUAAGGAAGACCAUGUGGCGUUUUAUUUUAAGCCAGUGUUGUCGAUGGCAGAUGGCGGUCCAUGGUGGAGAGCCAAAAUCCCGCCAUACCGGCCGCUUUGCGGUGCCGUUAGUGUGCCAUACCAUAGAAUUGUUUUCCUCACAUUUCUAGUGUUAGACUUCACAUUAGAGUUCCAAUUGAUUUUGAAUGGAUUUCACACUAGGCUAACAUUUUGCAUAAAUAAUUGUUUCCCAUUUUGCAGAGUUGAAGGAUUUUCUCUCUAGCAUCAUCCACCAAUUAGGUGCUAGUGCAAGCAUAGCUCAAGAAGAUGAUGGUAAUGUAGUACCAGAUCUAGUCCUCGGUGAGACUUUUGAGACAACUGCUUAGGAGACUUAGGCAACUUUGAGUUUGUCUAAUGUAUUGUGCAUCAUUAUUGGAGGUAACAAUCAAUUUUGAUAUUUAUAUUUUUAAGACUUAGGUGGUUUGGGCUGUUAGAGAGAAGACCUAUCGAUUUUGUGGUAACGAGAAUGAAUUAGAUGGAGAGGAGUCAAACACUAGAGGUAGAGGUAGACCUAAAAAAACUAAAAGAGAAGUUAUUUAGAAAUAUCUCGAGAUUAACGAUUUAGAUAGAAGAUGAUCAUGAAUAGAAUACAAUGGCGGAAGUUGAUCUUGUUGGUGAUUUUAGUAUCAUCAAUGUAAUUUUGGUAGUAAUGUGAUUUACUGAAGGCCGAUGCAAUUAUGCGUUAAGCUUGAAACGAGUUAGGGUAGUGCGGAGUGCACGCUCGUAGAGCCAAACGUACAAUUGAAUAUGAAUAAUAGAAACGGUGUGUCUGUUCGUUGCUAUUAUUGGUCUCCUAUAUAAGGAGUCUUUCGGUCUCGAUUUGACAUACGAAAUCAUAUACUUCCUCUACAUUCUAAUCUGUUCUCCAUUGUCAGAAACAGAUUGAUUCUUCAAGAAUUAUCCCCGCAAAGAUUUCGUGAACCCAGACAAGUAUAGGGUCGAAAUACUUUGUUCGGAAAGUGAACAAACACGAUUCUUGAAGAUAUCCAGGAUUAUCACACCAAAUCUCUAACAGAUCUGUGUAGCCGACCUAAUAGUAAGAUAAGGCUCGGUUGUUGUUGUAUUCUUAAUUUAUGGUCUCAAAUACGAGAUAAGGCUUGAUUACUGAUUCCUUGGUUCGAAUGCCCAUUUCUUGGAUUGGAAUCUACUAAAAAAAAUUCUAAUCAUGUUUUUUGAAAUCAUCUGAGAUUAGGCCACAAAUCAAGAUGAGGUGAUUGAACAUGUACAAAUAGAGGGAUCGUCUCUUUUAUUCCUAACUCUUUAAAUUUUAGACCUUUAGUUAUUGUAAUUUGUGGAAAUAUUUUUAUGUGUUAAUAUCUAGGUUGCCAAUAGCGCGCUAUAGCGGUGUAGCGUAGCGGUAGAGGACCUCGCCGCAACGCUUUUGGGCUGCUAACCGCUAUAUGAAAUUGCGGAAAUAGCAGCCGCGAUUUGUGGAAGCGUAGCGGUGGAAUAGCGGUGCAAUAGCGCUUUACAAACCACUAUUGUGAAGAUGAGGUCAAUACUGUAAUUUAGAAUUUAUUUUAAAGGAAAAUUUGUAUUUUUCCCUUUUAUUUCAAUAAUAUAAAAGCUAAAAGUGAGACAUUAGGUCAUUUACAUUCUCUCUCUUCACUCAAAUCAGCAGACGUUCUCCUUCUCCCCUGUUUUUAUAUCACGCUUCCACUUUUGCUCUUCACAGCAAGUUCUCCUUCUGAAGUGAAGAUGAGAUUGAUGUGAUUAGUCAUUUUGUUUACGUUUAGAUUUUGAUUUAGUCAUUUUGAGUACAUUCCUAAUUUGAGUCAUUAUGUUUGGUUAUCUAUGUUGCAACUUUUGGUUUAUGUAUGUUGCAACUUUUGUUUUUAAGUUAUUAUGUAUGUUGUUGGAACCUAUGUUUAGUAUUUAUGUAUGUUGUUGGAACCUAUUUUAAUAUUUAUGUUUUCAUAUUAAGUAUUUACCUUGAUUUUUAAAAGCUCACAAUAGCGGUCAUCCCGCUAUCCGCUGUGCCACUAUAGCAUAUGGGAGGUCUGGCGCUACACGCCACUAUCUGAGAUUAACAACCUAGGUUAAUAUUACUCUUCAUAUUACUCGAUCCGUGCGAAUGCACGGGUUUAUUACUAGUUUACAUUGAAAUCUAAUAACUCUUGCCCUUAAAGUCAGUUAGUGAGAAUGACACACUGUUUCAUACGUUGUGAAUGACUAGUGUUAUAUUUAACUAAAUGUUAAAUUAAGUGGUUCGUGAAUUACUUAAGAAAAGAAGUCCCAAAGAAGUUUUGUUAUUAAAUAUCUGUUAUUGUGGUGCUAUGACGGAUAUACAUGGCUGUUUUUAGGCUCGCAAUUGUAAAUAUAGGUCAAUAUUAUCGAUUUUUCUUAAUAAUCCGUAUACAACGCCACAAAGCUUCUGUGUGGAGGGUUUUUGGAUCUCUGCGGAGAACCUAAAUUUAAAUUCUAUGUAAAAUAAUUAUUGAUUUGAUUUAACUUAUUUUUAACUCAAUUCAAAAUUAAUACAGCUAGUUCCCAUGAAAAUUGAACGAAUAACACCAAAAUAAAGAAAGAAGAAGUACUUUUUUUUUGUAUGUAAAGCAGUUUUAAACUAUGUCUUAAAAAUCGGCUCGACCAUGGACCUGCUAAGUUCAAGGAGUCAAGAGGUUGAUGGUCGAACAAGAAAGUCACUCCACAUGACUUAUUCGGGUAAAACCAGAUGACCAGUCAUAAUAUUCG